Schistosoma haematobium is the source of this 49-nucleotide non-coding RNA. Lineage: Eukaryota; Metazoa; Platyhelminthes; Trematoda; Strigeidida; Schistosomatidae. The record is from Rfam.
AUCCAGCUAACGAGUCCCAAAUAGGACGAAACGAGCGUCUAAACUGAAU